CGGGGCACGGGUUGCGGGGUGCCGGGUGCGGGCGCGGGGCGCCGUGUGAUGGGCGCGGGCGCGGAGUGCGCACCCCAGCUGGCCGGUGGCGGGCGCCCUCUAGAGUCCAAGGGACGCGGGCAGAGCAGCGCGGCGCCUUCCCUUUCCCUGCUCCUCCUUAUGCAGGUUUUCUUCUUUCCCGUCGUGUAACAUCUAUGUGAAAUCCACUUCAUGGAAAGAUGUGAGGUUUGCCCUCCUGAGACCGCUUACAUCUGUUUAAAGGAUAAACACACGCACCGCGCGAUCCGCUUCUAUCCGUUUCUCCGCUCAGAGCGGCCUUAGUUGAUUUCACAGCUGAGUCGGUUGUGUUCGCCCAGACACAGGAGUGAGCGGCCCUGCCGUGCGCUGCGCCGAGGGCGCUGUGGCUCUGUGGAUGUGUGCGCUCGAGUGCAGCCGCCCUCAGAGACCGGAAGUGUCCCCGAGCCACCUGACCUGCACCCUGGGAGGAGGCCCGGAGUCCUCUGCAGAGCGGCAGGAGCUGGCUGGAGAGGUGGCUGGGAGGUUAGGAGGGCCGGCUGCUCCUCCAGAGGACCCGAGUUCACGCCCCAGCACGGCGGCGCACACUCAAUGGUGGUCUGGUGCUGUCUUCUGACAUGAAAUGAACGUGCAGACAGCACUCAGAUACAUACAAAUAAACGGCAAGUAAACAUUAAAGGAAAAAGAGCAGCAGGAACCCUAGGCCACCAGGCCAUCUCUCUACCCGGUCUGCUGCUGCUUUCUUUUAUUCACUUCUAUUUAUUAAUUUUUGGGUUUUUGAGACAGGGUUUCUCUGUGUAGCCAGGCUGGCCUAGCGCUCACACAGAGCCUCUGCCACCCAGGUGCUGGGCUCACAGGCAUUUGCCACCUCGCCCGGCUGCUGCUAUUUUCUUACCGUCAUUUCCACUGUGGUGAGACGGAAUCUCAUUGUAGCUUGGCAUUUCUCUGAUGGCUGAUGAGGUUGAACCUUGUCCAUGUCUGUUGGCCAUUUGGGCUUCAUCUUUCAAGAACUGGCUGUUCAUUUCAUUGGCCCAUCUACUUACUGAGAGGCUUUUUGAUUUAUUAUUUAGUUUUAGGAGGUUUUUGUGUGUGUGUUCUAGGUAUUAAUCUUCUGUCAGAUGGGUAGGCAGAGGGUUUUCUGGGAGAGUAACAUCAUUGGUGCUGGCUUUGAAGCUGUGCCCGGCUGGCAUGGUGUCCUCCAGGACCCUAGACCUGCCCAGAGCCCCACCGUGACUGGAGGGUUCAGUGGGCAGUCCACCACCUAGGUCAUUUCCUGUUUUGCUUCUCUUGGUUUAAGUGUUUUUCCUUCUGUACUGAUUACUUUCUGUUGGUUGUGCCCUGUCGGAGGCUUAUGAUAUGGAGACAAGGAGAGCAUAAUAUUUAAAAAGUCUGAGUUCAGUGGGGGGGGGGGGGGGGGGCGUGGGCGUGGGCGUGCCCACGGCUCAGUAGGUAAAGCUGCUUGCUGCCAAGGCUAAUGACCUGAGUUUAAUUCCCAGAACCCACUUGGAGAGAACCAACUCCUUCAACUAUCCUCUGACUUCCUCUGCACACUUGCUCACCACCCACAUUAAGUAAGAGUAAAAAUGUUAAAAGUCAUGCACUCAGAAAGCCAGUGUCCUUGCCCACCGCUUAUGGAGUGUGUCUCUUUGGAAAAAUAACUAUCUCGUCAAGCCUGCUGUGUCCCCUGUAAAGUGACAAUAGUGACAGUUCCUUACACCAGGGACCCCCGGUGUGAAAUCCGAAUGUCGAGAAAUCUGGCACAUACUUCACGGAUCGCUGUGGGAGUUCCUUCCGCUUGUGUGCUGCUUUUUUUUUUAUAGAUCUCUUUCUCCCUACUCCACCCCAGUCCCUUCCCACACCCCAGCACCAGGUAGGAGGAGAAAGGGUUGGUGGGAUAUGGGCCACAGUUCUCUCUGCUGCUUCCUGCUGGCCAGGGUCCUCGGGUUCCUUGGAGCCAGUGCAAUCCUCGGUUCAGCAGAUCUCCAACUUCUCACAGCAGCAACCAGGAGCCGCAGGGGGAAGCAGCAGCCUUGUUCGUUCUCUCAGCUCCACUCUCUGGGCUCUGGCAUUUAGUCUUUCUCCAGAGUCCUCAGAUUUAAACUCUCUGCAGCUGGGAAAGAGCCUCUCUCAGAGCUCGCGUGAGGCACACAGUCUGCUGCUGUGACCAUCUGAAUCAGCCCCACGUCCCACACCUGGGACCAACACAAACUAUAUUAUAUACACAUCAUGCUUGUUAAAUGUCAGGUGCCACUGUAACUCGCCCCACAAAUAUCACCACACAGUGCUUUGGCUCUAGUCUGUCUCCUAAAGUUCCCAUUGCACAAAGUAUUGAAUUAUUUUUGUCUCAAGGUAGCUGGUACAUGUGCUGAGAAUCAUUUUAAUUCUCACAGUUAGAUCUGAGAUAGCAUUCCCUUCCAUGACAUCAUCUGUGACUGUGUCUGUAUGUUUGUGAAUGUAUAGUGUGUCUAUGUGUGCUGGGAGAGUUGUUGCAGAAAGCUAUUCUCUGAGCAAAACAGCCACCUUCUUUCUUAGACCAGCUGUGCCAGUUUGCAAGCACCCCGGGCUUGUUGCUGGGUAGAGAAGGCCCCCGGAGCCCAGCCGAGGGUCCAGCCGCUCCUAGCCAGGUUUACUGGGUUCUGCUCUGAUUGCACGCGGCCUUGGCAUCAUGGGUAGAGUCUAUAAGCUGCGGGUGUGGGGAGCGUCAAGGAAGAGGGGCUUCAGUUGUGGCUGUGGAGGAGCUGUUGCCCGUGCUGGCUGAGGACUUCGCUCUGCUGCCGCUAACCUCCCUCACGCUCCGUACGCGUGCUCAGUAAGCUCGUCGGUUCCGAGGCCAGGGAAAUGGCCCAGCAGGCUAAGCGCUGGCUGCUCUGGCAGAGGACCAGGUCCAGGUCCAGCGCCCACACGGGAGCACACAGUCGUCUGUAACGACAGUUCUAGGGCACCCGGCGCCCCUUCUGACGUCCAGGGCACAGGGCAAAGACGUGUACAUAAAGGAAUGCUGGUAAAUAUUCAUAAACACAACUAAAUCCGCAAACGUCACACGGACUUCAUUUGGCCGAUUCAGUGUUGUCUCGAGGCUGUUCCUGUCUGCUAACCUAGGCCUAGUCCUGGGUGCACGCUAACCUAGGCCUAGUCCCGGGUGCACGCUAACCUAGGCCUAGUCCCGGGUGCACGCUAACCUAGGCCUAGUCCCGGGUGCACGCUAACCUAGGCCGAGACCGUUUUCUGCCUCUGCGACUUCCUGCUGAAUGAGCUCACCCUUUCUUGUUCCUACUGAACUCUGGGCUGGCUGGUUCAACUCAGCUGUUCUGGCUCACUCUCCUCUCCCAGCUGCCCUAGUCAACCUGGCUUCUCUCUCAGACCCGGAAUUGCUCUGCUUGGCCUCAAAUUAUCACCAGCAAUCUGCUGGGUCCUUCUCAUUCUCUGGUUCAUUCAGUCUGCACCUGAGCUCUCUCUCUGCAACCUGUCUCUCUAUUCCUGUCCCAGUAAAACAGCUUUCUCUCUCUCUUUCGCUCUUUCUCUCUCUUUCUUUCUCUCUCUCUCUCUCAUUGCCCCGUAAGAAGCUUCCCUUUCCUCUCCUCCUGAGAGCUGGGCGUAUCCUAUUCUGUCAGCCUUUCCCUGAUUCAUCACUGUUUCUGCCACUCAUUUAGACAUCACUUUCAAACAUGGAUGCUUCUUUCUACAAACUAACUUUCCAAACUUCAUUAUUUGAGAUUAAGGGAGUGCACUACCACACCUGAAUCUAAGCUUUUCUUUACCUGAAACCUGCUCUGUACCAGGCUGGCCUUGAACUCGGAUCUGCUGGCCUCUGUCUCCUGGAUUAAAGGUGUGUUUGUAUCCAGCCAGAUCACAGGGACCUAGAAGGUCUUUGGAUGUGCUCUCCUGCCAGAGCAGCCAUGUUCUGAAUCAACAUUCCUCUACAUAAAAACAAAACAACAAACCCAACUCAGUGGUUCCCCAAGGUGAACUCUGGUGGACUCAUGCUCUGGUUUGUCCUUGGGAUUUUAUGGGGAAUGGGCAGCUUCUCAUCUCCCCAGGGAAGCGAUUCUUGACUCGUGGAUGGUGGGCCAUGAAGUCAGAAUAAUUGUGGGGUCCGUUCUACCAGCUCUCAGCUGAGGUUUUGUCCUCUCUGAUGACUCAAACUAGCCAGCAAGCUUAAAGAGGUGUCUUGUGAUGUAAAUGAAGUCUAAACAUGAAUUUAAUUUGUGCUUCAUUUACACACUUUUCUACAAAAGACUUUGCUUGUUUGAGACAGGGUCCCUGUCCACAGCUUGGAGAUUCUGAGUCACCUACAGGUGGCAGUGUUUGCAACCUGAGGCUUCAAACUGUAGUGUCAGGUCAAGACAUCGUACCUACACCUUUAUUUGAGAAAAUAAAAUUUUAAAAAGGCCCCAGCCAGGUGUGGCAGCCUAUGUCCGUAUGUAUGCGCAGCACCUGGGAGCUGAGGCAGGAAAAGUCCGAGAGCAGCCUGGGGCUGAGUGGGUUUGAGACUGGCCUGGAUUACCGGAGAGGCUGUCUCCCGAAGAGGUGAGACUGGCCUGGAUUACCGGAGAGUCUGUCUCCCGAAGAGGCGAGAAGGGGAGACGGGGCUGAUUGCAGGGUUCAGUGGAUAAAAUGUGGAAAUGAGGAGCUGAGUUUGGGUCCUCAGAGCCACUCAAAACUCCGGGGACAGUGUUGCCCCUCCGUAACCCCAGCCUUGGAGGGCAGAGACGGUGACGGCCAGGGCUCACUGGCCAGCAAGCCCCAGGCCAGUGAGAGGCGCGGUCUCAAACACUAAGGUGGGACAGGGUAGCGGAAGGCGCCUGACGCCGACUGACGCCGACCUCCAACACCAACAUGUGUAGGCGACCAAACAGGACACACGGUGCACAGCUCUGUAGCCACGCAGACCUGUUCUUCUCUGCCUCGUGGACCAACGGUCUGUGUGUGUGGAAGGCCAAAGAGUUAGAUUAAGAUGGCAGGUUUCAAGUCCUCCCUGCUGCCUUUCUUCCCCUUUCAGGAAAGCUCAGAGCGUAGCGUGCCAGCCCGUCCCUUGCUGCUGACAGAUCUGUGGGGUCCCCUUUCUCAUGGCAAGCGACACGAGGGACAUCUUGAGGCGUCCUCAAGCACAGGUUCCUAAAGCAUGAUCUGGGUCACAGGACCGAAACAGUUCCCAUAACGACGACGGCAGGUUAUUUCGGGGUGAAUGCACAGCGGGGCUUCCCGAGACCGUGACGCUGUUGUGACAGGCGACUGCCGACAGGUGGCGCUCUGCGUGUUCUCUGCGUAGCUGAGGGAGAGGGUUGGAACAAUUACCACACAGUGACACCUCUCUUUCAUUUUGGAAAACAGAUUGUUAUUACGGUUUACUCGAGGUGUGUACGUGUGUGUAUAGACAGCAGAGGACAGUUUCCGGGGAGUCAGUUUUCCUCCUCCACCGAGGGGCUCAGGGAUCAAACCCCAGUUGUCAGGCUUGGCACAAACACCCUUCGCUGUCUCAGCCAUCUUGCCAGACUACAUUUAUAUUUUUUGUUUGUUUUGGGUUUUUUUGUUUUGUUUUUUAUUUUUUAUUAAUUACAGUUUAUUCACUUUGUAUCCCCCCAUAGGCCCCUCCCUCCUCCCCUCCUGGUCCCACUCUCCCUCCCCCUUCUUCAUGCCUGCCACUCCCCAAGUCCACUGAUAGGGGAGGUCCUCCUCUCCUUCCUUCUGAUCUUAGUCUAUCAGUUCUCAUCAGGAAUGGCUGCAUUGUCCUCUUCUGUGGCCUGGUAAGGCUGCUCCCCCCUCAGGGGGAGGUGAUCAAAGAGCAGACCAAUCAGCUUAUGUCAGAGGCAGUCCCUCUUCCCAUUACUAUGUAACCCACUUGGACACUAAACUGCCAUGGGCUACAUCUGUGCAGGGGUUCUAGGUUAUCCCAUGCAUGGUACUUGGUUGGAGUAUGAGUCUCUGGGAAGACCUCUGUGUUCAAAUUUCCUGGUUCUGUUGCUCUCCUUGUGGGGUUCCUGUCCUCUCCAGAUCUUACUAUUUCCCACUUCUUACAUAAGAUUCCCUGCACUGUGCCCGACAGUUGGCCAUAAGUCUCAGUGUCUGCUUUGAUAGAAAAAUAUGGAGCGCUUCACGAAUUUGCGUGUCAUCCUUGCAGGGGCCAUGCUUAUCUUCUCGGUGUCGCUCCAAUUGCAGUAUAUGUGCUGCCGAAGCGAGCACUGUUCUAUUUUUGAUCUUGUUUUUUGAGACAGGGUUUCCCUGUGUAGCCCUGGCUGUCCUGGACUCCCUCUGUAGACCAGGCUGGCCUUGAACUCAGAGAUCGCCUGCCUCUGCCUCCCGAGUGCUGGGAUUAAAGAUGUGUGCCACCAUUGCUAGGUUCGGUUUUCAUUUCCAGUGAGGGAAAUAAGUGUCGAUAUUUUCCUUCACGCAAGAUGGGUAAUGGGUUGGCAACAAAGCCUGAGGAACGCAAUCUGGAAACAAGUCCUGGAAAUCCAGUCGCCACACUUGCAGACAGACAGGGCCGCAGUCAUUUCUUUAGAGUGUGAUGGAGGCUGGGGGAUGGCUCAGCGGGGAAGAGGACCUGGGUAUGGACCCAGCGGCCACAACCAUCCGGAACCCCUACCCCACAGGAUGAUGUGGCCUCUGUGGCCCUGCAAGUGUGUGGUGCACACACCCACACACGUCAGAUAAAUAAAGGUUAAAAAAGACCUAAAUUGUUAGUGUAUACGACCUAAACUUUUAGUGAUAUUAAAUUUUAUCAAUGUGGGGCUGGAGACGUGGCUUAGCAGUUAAGAGCACUGGCUGCUCUUCCAGAGGACCUGAGUUCAAAUCCCAGCACCCACACGGUGGCUCAUGACACGUAAAGGGAUCUGAGCUCCUGUUGAGGCGUUCAAGGGCACAUUAGAGCACUCACACAUAAAGCAAACAAGCAAAAACAUAAUUUUAAGAGUUUUAUCAAUGAGCUAAAUCUAUACCAACGACUGAGUUUUGCGGCAAGCAGACCAAGCGGCAGCAGUAUAAACUGUUUUUUCACGGUGGCUUCACGGUGGCUUUGCACAGAGGGUUUUCUUCAUUCUGCCCUAGGAAAGUGAAAUGUGGCUGCAGUCAGCAUGCACCUGGCUAUUUCAGCAACCAGGUGUGAAUUCGGUGAAAUUUCAUUUGGCCACUGAACCAAGGCAGAGCACACACAUGUGCUGAGGAGGAGACAGGGUGGGUUAUGAUAGAAGCACCCACGCACGCACGCGCGCACACACACACACACACACACACACACACACGUGUACUGACGAGACAGGGCGGGUUAUGAUGGAAGCACACACAAUUUUUGAACGCUUGUUUCGCACAAACACUGACACAAUCACAAACUGUGUGGGAUGAGCACACAACUCACUACCCGAAGCCGGACGCCUUUGAGAGUGAAAGCGGUGCUCUUAAGGCCAGGCUGAGGAGCGGAAGGCACCCUGCUCCGAGGCUGGAGCCUGGGGAACGACGGAGAAGCUGCAGCACGGUGCUCACACUCCCAGGUGCAAGGGAAAUGCUGAGCCACAGGGUGACCCUCUGGGGAAGGGACGCCCCGGGCUCUCAGGGAAACGGGGCUCCCGCAGAAGGAAGAGAGAGCAAGAACCCUAGAACUGAUUUGAUGUUGGGGAGCAGCGGGUAGUUUCCAGAGAUCAGGGGUGCCUGUGAGGCCCACCCAACCAAGGACCAGGGACUUCCUGGGACACUUGUAGCUCUUGGAAACACAGCGGCCGAACAACACACGCCUCAUCACCAUGCAGCUGGGAAUUCGAGGGAGUGGUCCUGACCAAAGCCCAUCCUGCUUCAAAUUGGGCUCAAAAUUGUGGAAAUGUUUGCGAACCUCAGGAUUAACAAUAAGCCUGUGAGACGGUAAAUGGCACGCAGGAGCCAUUUCUACAGUCUAAUUCCCCCACGACUGUGGCCAAAGCACAGCAACUGGUGACCGGGCAUUUGUGGAAGUGGUGACCAGUGAGAUGGCUGAGGGCCUCUCUGCGGCUCUAGCUCCGGUCUCUUUGAUGGCAAAGAUCACCCCCAGCCGGAAAGGCAGAACGUGCCAAAUCCGCCCCAUUUCUCCUAUAGCAUGUGACAUUGUCUCAGGGCUUGUGUUAGUCCGAAGCAGGGGCCCCAAAUGGCGGUGCGGGUGACAACAUAAGCUCUCUGGGUAAACACAGGGUUGUUACGGGAAAACGAACCUAAGCUUUGCUGGGGAAGCCACGACUUCCCUUAUCCAUCCCAAGGUUGACUACCCCGGCCUGGUGCAGAUCAAAGACGCCUGGCUAAGGCCCAGGCCGUUCUGCAUCUGCAGCUCCCCUCCCAGGCUGCCUGUCCCCUUAAGACAAACAGGCUUUGCUCUCGAACCCCUGCAGUUUGAGUUCUGCCUGCAGAAUGGUCUAGUUCAGAGGCUUCACUGUGUCCCUUUUACAGUUUGUAUCCCCAAGAUCUCAUAUAUUGAAAUAUCCCACACACACCCACACAUACCCACACAUGACCCUGUUAAGAUACAGGGGCUAUGGUCUCAUAAGUGGGAUUGAUGCCCUCACACUAGAAGCCCCAGAAAGCUGCCCUCCACGCCCAGCAUGGGGGCAGGCAGGCACGGUGACACAGCUCUCACGCAUGCUGAGUCUGACGCACCUUGCUCUUGGAUCGCUCCCUCUCCACAACGUUGAGCGAUUUCUGUUUUUCUAAAUUAUCUAAAUAAUUUGGAUCUGGAAUGUCCCCGAAGGUCUGUGUAUUACAGGCUUUGUCCCUAGAGCAGUGCUUUUGGGAGGGAUGUGGUCUCUAAGUUGGGGGCUACAUGGGGUAGCCUUUAGGCUCUUUGGGGUUGGUGUCCUCAAAUGGGUUAGCAAGACCCUGGCUCCUGAGUUUUUUCUUUGCCUCUUGGCCAUGAAGGGCAUGACUCUGUCUCUUGCCCCUCCUGCUAUAACUUGAGCUCACUUUCCCACAGAUCUAAAGCAACAGGGUCAAACCGGCCGUGAACCGGGACCUCCGCUCCGGAGAACCAAAAUAACCCUUUAUGUUGACAAGCGACUACGCCCAGGUAUUUUGUUAUAGCGGUGGGAACUGGAGUCACGCGGCGUCUCAGUUCCCUUCUCACGGCUGCCGCUGACUUGGACAAAAAGUGCCAAGAAAUGGUGUGCUCUGCUCCUAGGAAAUGCCAAGGGAUGUGGAAGCAUUUUGAAAUGAAAGUUGGACAAAAACUGAAUCACUGUCAGACCCUGAAGGGAGUUCUUGUAAGACGCAGAAGCGAGGAGUCACAGAGAACCCUCCGGUCUUCUCGGAGAUCACGAGAGGCAGGAACAGCACACGGGUGGAAGCCAGACCGUCAGGACCGUCCCGGUGGGCUGGGAGCAGGGAACCCCGAGACUGAACCCGAGGAAAGGGGAGCCUCCUUUCAAGGCGGCAGGAGGUUUAGUCCUGAGGUUCGGAACGAUGACAAGUCAGCUUGGCAGAUGGUGAGGAAGGUUCUCUGAGUUUGGCAUUCUGUCUUGACUGCCUGUAGAAAAUGUGAAAAAACAAACAAACAAAAAACAGAAGCAGAAUCUAAAAAUCCGGAACAUUCUCAGCAGCCUGGCCAUAUUGCAAAGAAUGAAAAAGACUGUUUGGCCACCGAAGAGGUGGACGGGGGGACUGUUGAUGCUACACCGCAAGACAAAGGGAAACAACGAAGCCAUCUUGGGGUCCUUCCCAGGCCAGAAUGCUAGGGCUGGGCGUGGGAUGCUUGCAUGGCCUCAGGGCUCUUUGGUUGCCCAAUCGUGGGUCAAGCCGUGGUUUGAGGCACAGCUCAGGCCACCUAGGGUGCCUGCAGAGGGCCAUCCGCGUGAAGGGCAAAGCUUGUUCUCUAUGAGCAUGGACACUUCAGCCUCAGUUUUAAAAGACACCCCAGUUAGCCUCAAGGCCAGGCAGAGAGCAGCGUCAGGGUGAGGACAGAUGGGGCUAGUAGGGAAGAUGAGGGCUACACAGUGGGAGAGUGUCCACGCUCCCUUUAGAAAGUCACCGGCUACCGAUCAGCGGUGCUGGAGUGCGAGGAGCUGGAAGCAGGACACUGGUUAAGGUUCUUAAAGUUCUGUCUGGGAAGUGCUGGUCGUGGCUGACCUUGGAGUGAUGGAGCCUGAGCGGAUCAGGCAGGCACAGGUGCUGGGGAACACGGAAAUGGCGUGAGAGGGCACUAACUUCUGCCCUCGGCACAGGAUGCUUAGGGGUCAGUGGUCAUGGAUUCUCUGUUGAAUAGGCUGAACUUGAGGGUCCCUUCCCGUGGGAUAACCAAGUGGAGGUGUCCGACAGGCUCGGCAGCCUGGACCUGGAAAGAGGGCUGACCUGGAGCCUGAGGUUGGAAGUCGCAGGCAGAGCUCGGGCCCCUGGUGACAGCACCCAGGAAUGCUUAGCGGGAGGUAAGUGCUAACAGCGCCCCAGGAAAGACAGACAGGAGAGGCGGCCACGGCUACCAAAACAUGGAAUAAUGGAAGCCGCAGAAGGGAUGCCAAGCCCUGAAUUCUCAUCUUGGAGAUGCUGCUGCCGGCUGGUACUGGCUGGAGACGGUUCCUGGCACGGUCGGCACAGCCCCUGCUGAAGAAGAGAGCUGGAGGCGGAAGGCAGAGGCCACCUCUGCCCUUUGUCGGUUAAAAAUAGCACCCAGAGCACAGGAAAUACAGUUGUAAAAGCUCUUGA
This is a long non-coding RNA of Meriones unguiculatus (Mongolian gerbil), 10659 nucleotides long. RefSeq lists it as uncharacterized. The record is from RefSeq and is a predicted model, not a curated record. The transcript is spliced from 2 exons. NCBI's taxonomy places the organism in Eukaryota, Metazoa, Chordata, Mammalia, Rodentia, Muridae.